Molecule: transfer RNA, 84 nt
Rfam family: tRNA
About the family: Transfer RNA (tRNA) molecules are approximately 80 nucleotides in length. Their secondary structure includes four short double-helical elements and three loops (D, anti-codon, and T loops). Further hydrogen bonds mediate the characteristic L-shaped molecular structure. tRNAs have two regions of fundamental functional importance: the anti-codon, which is responsible for specific mRNA codon recognition, and the 3' end, to which the tRNAs corresponding amino acid is attached (by aminoacyl-tRNA synthetases). tRNAs cope with the degeneracy of the genetic code in two manners: having more than one tRNA (with a specific anti-codon) for a particular amino acid; and 'wobble' base-pairing, i.e. permitting non-standard base-pairing at the 3rd anti-codon position.
Source: Rfam
GGGACGGUUGCUCGGCUGGAAGAGGCGCAGGACUGUAAAUUCUGUAAUCCACUAGGAAUGGAGGUUCGAGUCCUCCUCGUCCCA